AUUCUUCUAUCUCUUGGUGGAAGCAUUCCUUCUUCUGGAACUAAGACCUCCAGGUCAACAGAGUGCAACCUUGCAGGAUCCAGAGGCACCGUGCUGCCAGCGGGCACUGAGGGGACAUGGUGACUGGUGUCCCUCCCCGUUCCACCCCUCGGUUCCUGAACACCUGAACCCUGGCUAUUAGAGAAACAUUACUAUGUCCUGGAUGCUGAGUCACCACCAGCCUCCUGGAGAGCCUUGCCACAUCUGGCUGGCACUGCCCCUGCGUCUUCCAAAGGCCCCCAUGCUGCUCUGUCAUGCCAGCUGCUCCGCAAUCGUGGGAACACGGUAAAACGGCAUCCACAAAUGCUUUGUGCCGAGUCUGCUGGAAAAUGACAGGGAUGGCCGGGGAAAGAAGGUGACUGGUGUCCACUGACUUAUCAUCCUGUCCACGUGAUUAUUGAAGCCCUCCUCUCCUGAGGUCUCCCCUGGGAACACCUGGAUUAACGAGCAGACGCCAUUAAGCUGUGGGUCAGAGGGUUACGGCUCUGCCUGGACUCUGUCCAUUGCAGCCAGUACACCUGCCUCGCCUCUGGUGGUUGGGUGAAGCCCCUGGGCACCUGCCUCACUGUGACCCAGCUGCUUCAACGGCCUGUACAUUCUCCUACUGAGUAGCUACCAGCCCACUUGAAGGUUGGGCCUACAGAGAACAACAACAUUAGGUAUCUUCAAGGAUGCUGGGGCUCCAAUCCCUAAUUUAUUUCUCAAAAUACUGGUGGAACAUGUGUCUCCUGGCCAGUCCCAGUGUGGUCAUUGAGAAGUAAAAAUGUCCUUGUCCCUAAACCCUGAAAGCUGAAGCUGGAUGACGUCAUGUAAACUUCAAGGAAAUCACCACAGAUCGUGUGGACAAAGUUUCUGCUUGUUGCUGGAUGGGACACUCAGAAGCUCACCUGGACACCAACGCCACCACCACAGAAAAUCAAACUGAAAACCAGGAAAUCCAGCAGAUUGCUGCCACUGUAUACACCCACCGUCUAACUAUGCUUUGAGCCCAUCUAGAAAUAUUCUCAUUAGGUUUUCCUCUGGAAUCGGAAACUCGUUUCUCUAUCGAUCUUUGUUUCUCUUUUAUUUUCGUAGAAAUGUUUCCCCAUUAAAUGUCUGAUGGGGAAACCAUACUGCAUACCCUCCACUGCCAAAUCUCAGCAGAAAAUUCACAAGAUCCUAAUGAACAAAAGGCAACUGGACAAAAAUGGACUUACGUUAUUCUAAAGAAAGAAGAAUGUCUCUUCUUUUCCUGAACAAGAAGGCGAC
Molecule: long non-coding RNA, 1287 nt
Organism: Rhinolophus ferrumequinum (greater horseshoe bat)
Lineage: Eukaryota; Metazoa; Chordata; Mammalia; Chiroptera; Rhinolophidae
Exons: 4
Source: RefSeq, a predicted model, not a curated record